Molecule: ribosomal RNA, 669 nt
Filed under: Brachybacterium sp. CHC8
Lineage: Bacteria; Bacillati; Actinomycetota; Actinomycetes; Micrococcales; Dermabacteraceae
Description: bacterial SSU rRNA
Rfam family: Bacterial small subunit ribosomal RNA
Source: RNAcentral
CCCAUGCNGUAAACGUUGGGCAUAGGUGUGGGGACAUUCCAGUUUUCCGCGCCGUAGCUAACGCAUUAAGUGCCCCGCCUGGGGAGUACGGCCGCAAGGCUUAAAACUCAAAGGAAUUGACGGGGGCCCGCACAAGCGGCGGAGCAUGCUGAUUAAUUCGAUGCAACGCGAAGAACCUUACCAAGGCUUGACAUGCACUGGACGGCUGCAGAGAUGUGGCUUUCUUUGGACUGGUGCACAGGUGGUGCAUGGUUGUCGUCAGCUCGUGUCGUGAGAUGUUGGGUUAAGUCCCGCAACGAGCGCAACCCUCGUUCUAUGUUGCCAGCACGUGAUGGUGGGGACUCAUAGGAGACUGCCGGGGUCAACUCGGAGGAAGGUGGGGACGACGUCAAAUCAUCAUGCCCCUUAUGUCUUGGGCUUCAAGCAUGCUACAAUGGUCGGUACAAUGGGUUGCGAAACUGUGAGGUGGAGCGAAUCCCAAAAAGCCGGCCUCAGUUCGGAUUGGGGUCUGCAACUCGACCCCAUGAAGUCGGAGUCGCUAGUAAUCGCAGAUCAGCAACGCUGCGGUGAAUACGUUCCCGGGCCUUGUACACACCGCCCGUCAAGUCACGAAAGUCGGUAACACCCGAAGCCAGUGCCCAUCCUCGUGAGGGAGCUUCUAAGUNGANC